ACAUUACAGGUUAUGCUCCGGAAGAUGGAGACAUUGGAGGAGAACCAGCGAGAGGCUCUCCUAUUCAGGCGACUACAGGGCAGACACACUGAAGAGGUGCCAGUGAUGGACCUACAGGUGGCCCAAACACAGGCUGAACUCCAAGACCUUGAGGAGUGCCUUAAGGUGCUGGAGUUGCGAAAGAGAGUGACGCUGUGAUGAAGUGGAAGACGGGACUGGGAGAGAAAGCUGUGGAGCUCCUCAUAGAGGAGACACUCAAACACACCCCGGCAGCCCAUUCAAAACAAGCCAGGGCCAACAGACAGGACCUGUAGCGGGGACUGGCAGAAGAUUUUAAUUCACUGUUUGGCACUUUGUUUGAAAUAAAAUG
This is a long non-coding RNA of Osmerus eperlanus (European smelt), 370 nucleotides long. RefSeq lists it as uncharacterized. The transcript has 3 exons. NCBI's taxonomy places the organism in Eukaryota, Metazoa, Chordata, Actinopteri, Osmeriformes, Osmeridae. The record is from RefSeq and is a predicted model, not a curated record.